ACUACGGGAGGCAGCAGUGAGGAAUAUUGGUCAAUGGGCGCGAGCCUGAACCAGCCAAGUAGCGUGAAGGAUGACUGCCCUACGGGUUGUAAACUUCUUUUAUAAAGGAAUCAAGUGAGGCACGUGUGCCUUUUUGUAUGUACUUUAUGAAUAAGGAUCGGCUAACUCCGUGCCAGCAGCCGCGGUAAUACGGAGGAUCCGAGCGUUAUCCGGAUUUAAUGGGUUUAAAGGGAGCGUAUAUGGGUUGUUAAGUCAGUUGUGAUAGUGUGCGGCUCAACCGUAAAAUUGCAAUUGAUACUGGCAGCCUUGAGUACAGUUGAGGUAGGCGGAAUUCUUGGUGUAGCGGUGAAAUGCGUAGAUAUCACGAAGAACACCGAUUGCGAAGGCAGCCUACUAAACUGCCACUGACAUUGAUGCUCGAAAGUGUGGGUAUCAAACAGGAUUAGAUACCCGAGUAGUC
Molecule: ribosomal RNA, 460 nt
Filed under: uncultured bacterium
Lineage: Bacteria
Description: partial 16S ribosomal RNA
Rfam family: Bacterial small subunit ribosomal RNA
Source: RNAcentral